RNAcentral lists this unclassified non-coding RNA (254 nucleotides) under fungal sp. Its description in RNAcentral is "partial internal transcribed spacer region". The stretch from base 1 to 46 matches the Rfam family "Eukaryotic small subunit ribosomal RNA", at positions 1786 to 1831 of the family's 1831-position model. The record is from RNAcentral. Lineage: Eukaryota; Fungi.
AAGUCGUAACAAGGUUUCCGUAGGUGAACCUGCGGAAGGAUCAUUACUAAAUAUCCUAAUUUAUUGGCUUUAAGCCCAAUAUAUGCACUUGUGAACUUUACCGUCUCUGACAAUGCGCUUACUGUGAACGUUUAACUCGCAGGAAACGAAUUGUCGGUUGUUCUCUUCUUUUAUUUGUAUUAAUAUUAUUCUCUGGUCGUAUAUUAUUUAUGAAAGUAAAUUAACAACUUUUGACAACGGAUCUCUUGGUUCUC